This 331-nucleotide unclassified non-coding RNA is filed under the name soil metagenome. RNAcentral describes it as "partial contains 5.8S ribosomal RNA, internal transcribed spacer 2, and large subunit ribosomal RNA". The stretch from base 1 to 120 matches the Rfam family "5.8S ribosomal RNA", at positions 35 to 154 of the family's 154-position model. The record is from RNAcentral.
GAUGAAGAACGCAGCGAAAUGCGAUAAGUAAUGUGAAUUGCAGAAUUCAGUGAAUCAUCGAAUCUUUGAACGCACAUUGCGCCCAUUAGUAUUCUAUUGGGCAUGCCUGUUCGAGCGUCAUUUUGACCACUUAAGCCUGGCUUAGUGUUGGGAAUCUACGUUUGUAGUUCCUUAAAUCUAGUGGCGGAGCCGCAGUGGCCUCUGAGCGUAGUAAUUUUUUCUCGCUUUGGAAGGUUCUGUAGUUUUUGCCGUUAAACCCCCAAUUUUUUAAGGUUGACCUCGGAUCAGGUAGGAAUACCCGCUGAACUUAAGCAUAUCAAUAAGCGGAGGA